Molecule: long non-coding RNA, 4024 nt
Organism: Vidua macroura (Pin-tailed whydah)
Lineage: Eukaryota; Metazoa; Chordata; Aves; Passeriformes; Viduidae
Exons: 3
Source: RefSeq, a predicted model, not a curated record
GAAGGGACAAGGCUAAGGGCAGGGAGGAGAUCCCAGCUUUGGGAAGGGUGAUGUGGGGCAGGAAGGGGCGAUAUUCAAAGCGGCAGAGGAAGCCCUGGGAGCGUGUGCACGCCUGUGUGGCGCAGCACUCGUGGCUGUGAAGGGGCCGAAGGAGGCUGGUGACAAAGCAGGGCCCAGGGACAGAUGGAGCGCCCAGCCGCCCCUCCAGGUGGCCGAACAGCAUGGACCACUCGUGCCGCUGCUCAUAAUCCUCCGUGGCCCUUCUGGCCCAGCAAGGCAACCCUCUGCGCAUGCAGGAGGGCAGGAGGAGAGCAGGAGGAUAAAGGGAUGACGUGCAGCUAGCAGGACGGCGAGGGAUGGAGGGAUGUGUUUUUACAGCAGGCACAGCUGCAGAGUCACAGAAUCACAGAGUGGCUUGGGUUGGAACCGACCUUAAGGAUCCUCCAGUGCCACCCCUGCCAUGGCAGGGACACCUCCCACUGUCUCAGGCUGCUUUAAACCUAAUCCUGCCUGGCCUUGGGCACUGCCAGGGAUCCAGGGGCAGCCUCAGCUGCUCUGAGCACCCUGUGCCAGGGCCUCCCACCCUCCCAGGGAAGAAUUUUCUCUUUAUAAACAAUAUAAAUGUACCCUCCUUCAGCUAAAGCCAUUGCCUGUGUCCUGUCCCUCCAUGCCUUGUCCCCAGUCCCUCUCCAGCUCUCCUGGAGCCCCUUCAGGCCCUGGAACUCCCGACCCCUGAGUGUCCCUCUUGUCACUGCUCUGCCCUGACACCGAGCCAGGUGUCAGUGUGACCACCCAGCCCCUUCCUCACCCACCGAGUGCUCCACCCAGGAAAUCCCUGUCCCUCCACUCUGGGGACGAGGACGUCGUGUGGGACAGAGUGGAACGCUUUACGCAAUUCCAGGUGGGUGACACCGGUCACUGUUCCCUCAUCCACCAGCACUGUCGCCUCCACUGCUUGCCCUCAGUGAAACCAUUUCCCGUGGCUGAAACUCCCUGGGACGAGCGCGAGGUGACACCGGGCUGGUGUCACAGCGACAGCCAAGCAGGCGGGAGGAACACCCAGCCUCGCUCUUCAGGGCUAAACCAUCGCAGAGCGCGUUUUGGGAGUUAACCCGGGCAGCGGGCAGGGAGGGACACCGGCCCCUGUCUGUUGACAGCCAGGCUCCUGCACGUCCCCGAGGGCUCUGUGUCACCCAUCUGCCCAGAGGGAGCUGCAGAGCUACUAAAGCAUGGAAAUAUGGGACACGCUGGCCUGCCAGAUAAGCAAAUCAAAGCGAGACUGCGAGUCCCCUCCAUCUCCAUGUGGCCUGGAAGGGAGGGCAGCAGGAACCAAUGUCCUCGGUGUAAGGCAGACAAGAUCUGUGAGAUGCCGCAGGUGUCCCUCCUGCUUUUGGUGAACUCUCCUGAAUCUCCAGUGUCCUUGCAGUGUGCUGUGGGAACUGCCUUUGGAAAGACUGGGCUGUCUCCAUGCAUUUCCUGCAUCACUCAUCCGUGUUCCAGUGCUUCCAUCUCCCUUCCCUUCAAUCUCUGACACCGUGUUCCUCCUGCUCCCAGCCUGGGCAGAGGUCAGGGCACUCUGUGUUCAGUCGUGCCCAGGCCUGAUUUUGGAAUUGCCCCUUUAGAAACCUGACUCUCAUGAAGUCCCCCUGGCCGUGGAGGUGGCUGGGGGCACUUUGGCUGCCUGAAGAAUUCCCAGGGCAUUUUCUGCUGUUUAUUUUGAGUUUGGGCAGCCAGGCCAUUUGCAUGCAGCCUGUGAAGGACACGUGUGAUGCUCCUCCUGAGCUGUGCAGUCACUGCUGGCCCUGUCCUGCACACUCAGCACUUCAGGCAUGCAAAUAAAGGGUGUGUGGCUUUCAUGCAGAUGCUGCAGCUUUAAAUAUGAGCUGCACAGGAAAAUUGCAUGAAGAACACCUUUUCAGGCUGGAAGCAAGCUCUCUGUGUGGAUUAAAGGCAGUGUCACCUCAGCAGCAAGGGCAGAGCUCUGCUUGAGUAGAAAAUUCCUGGUUUGGCUGGGAAGGGACCUUGAGGAUGAUCCCAUUCCCCCCCCUGCCAUGGGCAGAGGGGCCCAGCCCUCGGGGCAGCUCCGUGGCCUCCUCUGGAUCCCCUCGAGCAGCCAGAGCUGGUUCCUGUCCCUGGCAGCCCCUCGGCCCCAGCCGCUCGUGCUGGGCUGGACUGGCAGCUCCCAGUGCCAGGUAACGAACCCCACACGGCUCCACAGCCCUGGAAGGUGAACCUCCCACGCCAAUCCCCUCAGCAGGAAGGUUUUCCAGGCUCCUGCCUCUGCUCCCAAGCCCCUGCUGCCAAAGCAGAGCAGCGUGAAUCAGCUCAGCCCUGAGGCUGGGGCAGGAGGGGAGCUCUGAGGAAUUGUCCAACAUCCAAAGCUGGACUGAGGACAAGGAAGGGACGGCUGGGGUGAGGGUGUGACUGCAGAAACUGGUCCCAGGGAGCACAGUGAAAGUGCAGCACAGGCUGCAGCAGAGCUGCUCCAGUUACAGCUGAACCAGAGGGUGGCUGACGGCGGAAUUAAGAGUUGCCUGGAAAUGCCGAAGGAUGGAACUCAAUCUGUCAUCUAAUUUAAUCACCACGUUGGUAAAGCCCAGCUUUCUGGAAGAGACAACCUAAACACAGGCUCUAGAAGGAGAUUUCUUCCCUUGGGACUCCACAGCAGACCUGGAGACCCGAUUGUGAAAUCCCAUCAUUGCAGGGAGGAAAAAAAUGCCAAUAACAUCCAAAGCUUGUGCUCAAAUGCCACAAACUGCCAUGAUUUCUCUACAUCUCUUUCUGCUCUUGCUUUUAAAAGACACAGGAGCUGGGGGAAAUGACAGCAGUUCUUAGUUCUGUGGGGGAGAAUUCCCAUUUAAAUUCUUAUUCACCUCCCAAAAAUGAACGACUUUAAGGAAGGGAGUGGAGGGGGGGGGGUGAAUGUGCUGCAGUCGCUUGGAAUAAGAAUACAACUUGUUAAAUAAAGAUAAUCCAAGGGAAAAAAAAAAUCUUGGCAGGCUAUGAAAUUCAAAAAAAGCAGAAAACUGGAAAGUCUGAGCAAUGGCAGAAGUAAAAAGACUGAGAGACAGCCCCUUUCCAGCCUUUUGAGAGAUAAAACAGCCUUUGGGGAGAGCAGGCAGGUCUGAGGGCCCAGCAAAGGAGGCUGUUGGCACUUUAAUUUUUGCAGCCUAGAGGAUUUAUCACAGAAAACAGCAGGGCAGCAGACAGGCAGGAAUUAAGGAAAAUUUAUGCCCCCACCUCUAUGAAUUGAUUAUAAUUGGAAGCAUCCACCAGCCAAGGAUCCAGGCAACCAAACAGCCCAAUUCAACUAUUUUCACGUUUUUGGUAAACUGAAUGAAUCCCUAAUAGCAGCACUCAGCUGUGGAAUGGUGUCUGCAUUAAAAACUGCUUUUAAGGGGAAGAAAACAAACUCUGAAGGAAUCAAAGCCCCCCUUGUCCAAACUACUCCCAAAUUAUCCGAUGUGGAGAAGGUCCGUGCCAGCUGGGAAAGUGAAGGGCACGAAAUGCCGCACGAAGUAGGUGAUAAAGAAAUAAGUGCUGAAGACAUCUAUAAAUAGAGGUGUUCAGUGCCAGCAUCAGGCAUUGAGCAGGGAAUGGCACAGGCAGAGCAAGCUUGGGAGAAGGCUCCUGGAGGAGGAGAGGGGAAGAUGACAGGAGAGUCGUGAAGAUCAGAGAGCUCCGUGGCAAUUAAGUCGUGUCGGGGAGGGAUGAAGGCGCUGGCGACAGACAAGCAAACCCUCAGGACAUCAGGAUGCCACGUGAAAGGGGGGGAGAUGGUGGCUGGGGAGCCUGAAUGACUCAAGGAUCCUUUCCCAAAUUAAAGCCAGUCCCCAGAGGUCGUUACACAUCAUAAUGAGACACCCGGUGCGGUCUCUGCUCAGGAGCAAAUCCUCUGCUCCUCAGCUGGCCCAGGCUCUGGGCUUGCUCAAGCCCUGUGAGCCACAGACUCACUGAGGGCACAUGGGAGAGCCUCAGCCCCCUCCCAGCAAAGAAUUUCCUCUUAAUAAACAAUCCAAACGUA